CUCUUGAGAGCGGCGGACGGGUGAGUAAUGCCUAGGAAUCUGCCUGGUAGUGGGGGAUAACGUUCGGAAACGGACGCUAAUACCGCAUACGUCCUACGGGAGAAAGCAGGGGACCUUCGGGCCUUGCGCUAUCAGAUGAGCCUAGGUCGGAUUAGCUAGUUGGUGAGGUAAUGGCUCACCAAGGCGACGAUCCGUAACUGGUCUGAGAGGAUGAUCAGUCACACUGGAACUGAGACACGGUCCAGACUCCUACGGGAGGCAGCAGUGGGGAAUAUUGGACAAUGGGCGAAAGCCUGAUCCAGCCAUGCCGCGUGUGUGAAGAAGGUCUUCGGAUUGUAAAGCACUUUAAGUUGGGAGGAAGGGUUGUAGAUUAAUACUCUGCAAUUUUGACGUUACCGACAGAAUAAGCACCGGCUAACUCUGUGCCAGCAGCCGCGGUAAUACAGAGGGUGCAAGCGUUAAUCGGAAUUACUGGGCGUAAAGCGCGCGUAGGUGGUUUGUUAAGUUGGAUGUGAAAUCCCCGGGCUCAACCUGGGAACUGCAUUCAAAACUGACUGACUAGAGUAUGGUAGAGGGUGGUGGAAUUUCCUGUGUAGCGGUGAAAUGCGUAGAUAUAGGAAGGAACACCAGUGGCGAAGGCGACCACCUGGACUAAUACUGACACUGAGGUGCGAAAGCGUGGGGAGCAAACAGGAUUAGAUACCCUGGUAGUCCACGCCGUAAACGAUGUCAACUAGCCGUUGGAAGCCUUGAGCUUUUAGUGGCGCAGCUAACGCAUUAAGUUGACCGCCUGGGGAGUACGGCCGCAAGGUUUAAAACUCAAUGAAUUGACGGGGGCCCGCACAAGCGGUGGAGCAUGUGGU
Molecule: ribosomal RNA, 863 nt
Filed under: Pseudomonas fluorescens
Lineage: Bacteria; Pseudomonadati; Pseudomonadota; Gammaproteobacteria; Pseudomonadales; Pseudomonadaceae
Description: bacterial SSU rRNA
Rfam family: Bacterial small subunit ribosomal RNA
Source: RNAcentral